AACGAACGCUGGCGGCAUGCCUAACACGUGCAAGUCGAACGAGACCUUCGGUCUAGUGGCGCACGGGUGCGUAACGCGUGGGAAUCUGCCCUUGGGUUCGGAAUAACUCGCCGAAAGGCAUGCUAAUACCGGAUGAUGUCGUGAGACCAAAGAUUUAUCGACCAGGGAUGAGCCCGCGUAAGAUUAGGUAGUUGGUGAGGUAAAGGCUCACCAAGCCGACGAUCUUUAGCUGGUCUGAGAGGAUGAUCAGCCACACUGGGACUGAGACACGGCCCAG
This 277-nucleotide ribosomal RNA is filed under the name uncultured bacterium. RNAcentral's name for it is "partial 16S ribosomal RNA". It matches the Rfam family "Bacterial small subunit ribosomal RNA", at positions 29 to 334 of the family's 1533-position model. The record is from RNAcentral.